This 253-nucleotide ribosomal RNA is filed under the name uncultured bacterium. Its description in RNAcentral is "partial 16S ribosomal RNA". It matches the Rfam family "Bacterial small subunit ribosomal RNA", at positions 524 to 776 of the family's 1533-position model. The record is from RNAcentral.
UACGUAGGGUGCAAGCGUUGUCCGGAAUUAUUGGGCGUAAAGAGCGUGUAGGCGGCCGUACAGGUCAGCUGUGAAAACUCGAGGCUCAACCUCGAGACGUCGGUUGAAACCGUACGGCUAGAGUCCGGAAGAGGAGAGUGGAAUUCCCGGUGUAGCGGUGAAAUGCGCAGAUAUCGGGAAGAACACCCGUGGCGAAGGCGGCUCUCUGGGACGGUACUGACGCUGAGACGCGAAAGCGUGGGGAGCGAACAGG